This 446-nucleotide ribosomal RNA is filed under the name uncultured bacterium. Its description in RNAcentral is "partial 16S ribosomal RNA". It matches the Rfam family "Bacterial small subunit ribosomal RNA", at positions 338 to 795 of the family's 1533-position model. The record is from RNAcentral.
CCUACGGGAGGCAGCAGUCGAGAAUCAUUCACAAUGGGGGAAACCCUGAUGGUGCGACGCCGCGUGGGGGAAUGAAGGUCUUCGGAUUGUAAACCCCUGUCAUGUGGGAGCAAAUUAAAAAGAUAGUACCACAAGAGGAAGAGACGGCUAACUCUGUGCCAGCAGCCGCGGUAAUACAGAGGUCUCAAGCGUUGUUCGGAAUCACUGGGCGUAAGGCGUGCAUAGGCUGUUUCGUAAGUCGUGUGUGAAAGGCGCGGGCUCAACCCGCGGACGGCACAUGAUACUGCGAGACUAGAGUAAUGGAGGGGGAACCGGAAUUCUCGGUGUAGCAGUGAAAUGCGUAGAUAUCGAGAGGAACACUCGUGGCGAAGGCGGGUUCCUGGACAUUAACUGACGCUGAGGCACGAAGGCCAGGGGAGCGAAAGGGAUUAGAUACCCCUGUAGUC